Molecule: non-coding RNA, 27 nt
Filed under: Homo sapiens (human)
Lineage: Eukaryota; Metazoa; Chordata; Mammalia; Primates; Hominidae
Source: RNAcentral
UGAGCACUUUGGGAAGUCAACAUGGGA